UGGAGUUAAGAAUUCCCACCAUCAUUUCUCCUCACUCUUCAUCUCUCCUCCCCCGACCCCCAACUAAUUCAGAGCUUUUAGCCAAAAUAAAAGCAAAUUUGGACCAAAACAAAAAUCUUAUAAGAAACAUGUAUGUUAUUAUAGAAUGCAUCUUAAAAGAUUUAUUUUUAAGAAUUAAACAAGGUGAGUCAAUGGUCCAUUUCAACUUAACCAGUCUUCCAACUACAACUGACCAGCUACUAAAAGUAAAUCAAAACAAAUCCAUCCCGUGUGUGUGUGAGAGAGAGAGAGAAGAGAGAGAGAAAAGAGACAGAGAGGAGAGAAAGGAGAGAGAGAGAGAGAGAAAGAGAGAGAGAUCCCUGAAGAAGUAACAUCACUGCCCUACAUAUCUUCAGUUUUAUGAACAGCAAGAAAUAAGAAAGGAUCGUAGAGGCAGACUAAUUCUAGAUCAAAGUAAAAAAUAAAAAAUCCCACAACAUCUGACUAAGGGAAAGGGUGGUAUUUAUGUGGGAAGCAUAUCAGCAUAAUUACUGCAGUGGAAAAGAACUCAUACCUGGCAAUAUACAAUCCCAGUGUCUGCCUAAAGAAAGCUGUUGCACCAGGGUCAUGGCCAGAAGCCAUUGGGCAUCCCAGGAGGCAAUUAAUUCCCUCUCACUCCCUUACAGGCUCCCACCAGUAUCACCUGCUCCAGAGUGCCCUCAAAUUCCAGUUCUGUCCUAACCAAAAGCAUAAUGUAACAGUAAAAUUCUCAUGCCACCGAUUCAUACAGGAAAACCUGACCAGCACAAGAAAUUUGGAGAAAUUUACAAAGGGAGUAACUGCACAGCAUGCAAAGAUGAAGAAACCAAAGCCAAAAGAUCGGAAGUGAACUGCUCAACCUGUGAUUUCAUCAGUGGAAGGCACUCAUGAGGAAUAAGGAUCUCAUUUCUACCAAUGUGGAUCAGUACCUGAUCUAUAACCUAUAUAAUCUUGGAGAUUUGCCUAAGG
Vombatus ursinus (common wombat) is the source of this 987-nucleotide long non-coding RNA. RefSeq lists it as uncharacterized. The transcript has 3 exons. The record is from RefSeq and is a predicted model, not a curated record. Lineage: Eukaryota; Metazoa; Chordata; Mammalia; Diprotodontia; Vombatidae.